This 232-nucleotide ribosomal RNA is filed under the name uncultured bacterium. RNAcentral's name for it is "partial 16S ribosomal RNA". It matches the Rfam family "Bacterial small subunit ribosomal RNA", at positions 524 to 755 of the family's 1533-position model. The record is from RNAcentral.
UACGUAGGGGGCAAGCGUUGUCCGGAUUUAUUGGGCGUAAAGAGCGUGUAGGCGGCCUUACAGGUCAGCUGUGAAACUCGAGGCUCAACCUCGAGACGUCGGUUGAACCGUAAGGCUAGAGUCCGGAAGAGGAGAGUGGAAUUCCCGGUGUAGCGGUGAAAUGCGCAGACUAUCGGAAGGAACACCAGUGGCGAAAGCGGCUCCUCGGUGCCAGCACCGACGUUCAGGCACG